UCCCAGCCCGUUUCCAGUUCCCCGCCCGGCGAACAGCAGCCAGCCUCGCACAGCCACAGCUGCGCCGCCGACAGCAGGUUCGCCCCUACUAGCCGCACAGCACCCGGGAGGGCGUCGAGCUGAGCAGAGAGCUAGACAGAAGCACAACUAAACUUCUGCAAACUGGCGAUUCAUCAAGCAAGAGGAAAAAAAAACCACAAGAGGCUUCUGUUAUGUAAAUGACACAUAAUCUUGGAGAGCUGAUCAAGAGAUGCUGUAUAUUGUUCAAAUACUCUAAUCAAGUCACUUGUAAGUUUCCUCUGGUAUAGAAAAAUGUCUGUCCUGAUGAAAUUCCAGUUUCAGAGCUUGAUCUUUAAGUUUGCCUGGUAUAAGUGGUACUGGUUGUGAUGCUCAGCCAUUGCCUGCUGAAGUUUGUUUCCCCAGACCCUCCCCCUCCACUUUAUUUUACCUAGUUGCAUUAUUAGUUCAAGGUAACACAACCUUGAUAUGUCCAGCCUUGCUGUGGAUGGUUACAAAAGCCUGAUGAGGAUCAGUGAGUCAGACAGUUUACCUCAUAGCACUUCUUUGCUGAUGUAGCUGGGAGUAAAAAUGGUGGAGGAAGGACUCUGGGAUAAAAUAAUAAUUUCAAAAUUAACACAAGGUGUAUGUGUAAUGUUGAGGACAAGUACUGAGCAUUUCCCAUGAUGUGUGGUUCAGAGUGUGUUGAAAAGAGUGUUAAAUACAUUUUUCUCAGCUGAAUGAAUCCAUUCCAGGAUGCCUUAAAAUAAUUUUGUAUUUUAUCCUUUAAAUUGAUUUAUUAUUGUAUCACAAAUAAAGCUGAACAAAUGA
Molecule: long non-coding RNA, 828 nt
Organism: Haemorhous mexicanus (house finch)
Lineage: Eukaryota; Metazoa; Chordata; Aves; Passeriformes; Fringillidae
Exons: 2
Source: RefSeq, a predicted model, not a curated record